Molecule: long non-coding RNA, 504 nt
Filed under: Gossypium barbadense (sea-island cotton)
Lineage: Eukaryota; Viridiplantae; Streptophyta; Magnoliopsida; Malvales; Malvaceae
Description: long non-coding RNA (GBAR_LNC009559)
Source: RNAcentral
UUAGGGCCUUAAGUUCUACCAGACCUUACAUAAGUGGUACCUCUUUUAUCACUCAAACAUAAUUAUCGAACGUCAGGGAAUGGGUCUUCAAAAACCUCUAAGGCGUCAUCUUUCCCAAAGGAUUUGGUUCACAGAGGCGUUUUUGGCCUAUGCUUGCCCCCUUUCAUACUUGCUGCCUGGUUUAAGCUUUGUUGGGGAUUGUAUUGUCCUUAUCACAAGGUGAGAUAUCAGUUGCUUUUGCUUUGCAACAUAUGAAGACUGACUGAUUUUAGCAUUACCUUUUGAGAACCAAUUACUGGAAUCUGUAAAGGUAUUGAAGAUGGAAGUAUCCUAUCUAAGAUCUUGUUUUGAGUCUUGAAUUCAUGUCAAAGUUAGGGUUGAAUUUGAGGUUAACGAUUUGGAAUUUUAAGGCUUUUGGAUAGAGUUAGAAAUGAAGUAUUCUUAAUAGGGAUAUAUUUAAUGCAUUGUUAAUGUAGGAAUUUUAUGCAGACACCUCAUCACUAU